Mus musculus (house mouse) is the source of this 1926-nucleotide long non-coding RNA. RefSeq annotates it as predicted gene, 38737. NCBI's taxonomy places the organism in Eukaryota, Metazoa, Chordata, Mammalia, Rodentia, Muridae. The record is from RefSeq and is a predicted model, not a curated record. The transcript has 3 exons.
CGGCGGGGCGCGGGCUGGCCUCACGCGUCAGCUAAGCGCCGGGCUCCGCCGGAGAAAGCACACUGAUUGGUCCGACGCCCUGAUUGGCGGGAUGCACUGAUUGGCUGGGUGUCCGGCAGCAGGGCGGGGAGGGGCCGCUUCCGUUCAGAGUUCCCGGAGUGGCCCGGGUUGGGGCCCUAAAGCCAGUACACCUGAGCUCCCAUCCCGGGAGACUCAUGCCUCUCCUACGCGUGGCCCUGCGGACUACGGUGGCGAGGCCACUGGGCUCUGCGAUCCACGGGCCCUCACCGCGAUGGGGCCUCCGCUGUCUCUACCUUACGUAGCCCUGCCAGGCUAAAGAGCAGACCAUGCACCCCCCUCAACGUCUCACUUCAAGUCUUAGCUCUCCAGAUUGAGGCAACUGCGCCCCAGUCCUACAGUCAUGCUUCUUGUUACUUCCUGGAUCCUGAGGCUGGACAAAGUAGUUCAUCCUUGUAUUCUCUCCCCUCCAGCGCCUGCCUGUGGUACCCAUUUAGUACACACCCCUGAAGAGCAUUCACUGCUGAUCAAAACCUUUCACCCCCUAGACCACCAGUUCACUACACCCUACUGACCUAAAGAGCUGUGGUCCUGCCCACCACCCACUUGCCUUCUCUCUCACUAAGCCUAGUCUAACUGACUCCUCCAGCACUCCACUCUGGUUUCACUAUACUCUUGUGGACACAGUUUUUUGUUUUAUUUUAAAACACAGAUCAGAAGAAGAAGCUAAGCUCUUUAGCUUGGGCAUUAAAAGUCCCAUUUUAAUGAUUCCCAGUACAGGUGAGUCUGAGACAGGAGAAUCACAAGUUUGAAGACACCCUGUGCUACAGAAGGACUCCCAGUCUCAAAACAAAACACCCAACUCCAUAUUUCCUUUUUCCUUUCAUUUAUUCCAGCCACAGCAUGCUAUGUUAAGCUUUUAACAUUAUAAAGAGGUCAGGAGCCUAUACCUACUCAUGCUACCAACUUCAUUACAGUCCCUAUAGGUUGGCUAUAAAAUGUCUAUUGAGUAUUUGGAGCAAAAAACUCAAGUACUUUGAGGAAUUAAAAAGGAGAAAGAGAAUCCUAGUUGCUCACAUUUCAGCAUCUCCUGUCAAAAUUAACACCACAACUUUUUUCUUUACAAAAAAUGGUUAUGGAAUUUCACCACUGUAGACCAUUAUUAAGAGAUUUGCAAAAGGUAAAAUAACCCAUGUCUGUGAUCCUAGAAUUCAGCAGCUUAGGCAGAAGGAUUGCCAUGAGUUCAAGCCAGCCUGGACUACAGAGUAAAAUCCUGUCUGUAAUCCAGGUCAGCCAAGACUAUAGACUGAGACCCCAUCUCAAGGAAAAUGACCAAUUUGUGCGACUAGAACUACCUGCUCAGUACUUUGCCUUUUCCAGUGGAAGGGCAAGACAGCAUCUACAGAAGACCACUGCAACUAUGCCUGAAACACUGUUCCCGCCGAGAGCACUUCAGGUCGUCUGCUGUGGCCUUGGAAAGUAGCUCUCCCAAAGCACAGAGUGCAUUCUAGAAGAUCGUGCAGACAUCUCAGAGUGACUUUCACUGGCCUGGAACAUGCCAAGAAGGCUAGACUCAUUGGCGAUAAAGGCUUUACCACCUCAGACCUAGGCAAGCAAGUCCAUGUCACCACAGCUGCAUAUGAGUUAUGGCCAUCUAUCUCAGUUCUUACUGCUUGGCAGAACUUUACUGGAGGAUCGGUGGACAGAUCAGUGAAAUGGCUAAGUAGUUUGAAAAGGCGCUUGCUGAAAGCCUCAGGGCCUGAGUUAGAUUUCUGGGACCAACUUAGAAGAAGGAGAGAACUAAUCUCCUCCAGUUGUCCUGUGAUCUCCGCCACAAGCAUGCUGCAGCAGAUGUGCAACACCCCCAACACCAAAUAAAUGUAAAACUGUUUCAAUAAAGGACCCAUC